CCCUUAGAUGUCCUGGGCUGCACGCGCGCUACACUGAUGUGUCCAGUAAGCACCUAACCUCUUCCGAAAGGAACGGGUAACCUUUGCAAAGCACAUCGUGAUGGGGAUAGAUUAUUGCAAUUAUUAGUCUUGAACGAGGAAUUCCUAGUAAGCGUAAGUCAUAAGCUUGCGCUGAUUACGUCCCUGCCCUUUGUACACACCGCCCGUCGCUACGACCGACUGUUUCUGUCAAUGAAGCUGUAGGAUUCGGCCCUGGCCGGGGCGCAAGCCCUGGCUACGUGGUUGGAGAUCAUAGUUUAGUUGAUACGAAAUACAGGACGUAAAAGUCGUAACA
Molecule: ribosomal RNA, 334 nt
Filed under: uncultured eukaryote
Lineage: Eukaryota
Description: partial 18S ribosomal RNA
Rfam family: Eukaryotic small subunit ribosomal RNA
Source: RNAcentral